RNAcentral lists this ribosomal RNA (353 nucleotides) under Nelima sylvatica. Its description in RNAcentral is "eukaryotic LSU rRNA". It matches the Rfam family "Eukaryotic large subunit ribosomal RNA", at positions 644 to 965 of the family's 3401-position model. The record is from RNAcentral. Lineage: Eukaryota; Metazoa; Arthropoda; Arachnida; Opiliones; Sclerosomatidae.
UUGACCCGUCUUGAAACACGGACCAAGGAGUCUAACAUGUGCGCGAGUCAUUGGGUCUUGUUUAGGCCCAAAGGCGUAAUGAAAGUGAAGGCCGGUUCGGCUGGCUGCCUUGGGAUCCCGCGUUCCUCGUGGACGCGGGCGCACCAAGGGCCCGUCCCGAUCGCCUCGUCGACGGGGCGGAGCAAGAGCGUACACGUUGGGACCCGAAAGAUGGUGAACUAUGCCUGGGCAGAACGAAGCCAGAGGAAACUCUGGUGGAGGUUCGCAGCGAUUCUGACGUGCAAAUCGAUCGUCAGACCUGGGUAUAGGGGCGAAAGACUAAUCGAACCAUCUAGUAGCUGGUUCCUUCCGAA